UCGGGAAUCUUGCACAAUGGGCGAAAGCCUGAUGCAGCAACGCCGUGUGAGCGAGGAAGGUCUUCGGAUCGUAAAGCUCUGUUGUUGGGGACGAAGGGCGAAGGGUUAAUAGCCCCUAGCCUGACGGUACCCUUCGAGGAAGCCCCGGCUAACUACGUGCCAGCAGCCGCGGUAAUACGGAGGGUGCGAGCGUUAAUCGGAAUUACUGGGCGUAAAGCGCGCGCAGGCGGUUUGGUAAGUCGGAUGUGAAAGCCCCGGGCUUAACCUGGGAAUUGCAUUCGAUACUGCUUGACUAGAGUAUGGUAGAGGGAAGUGGAAUUUCCGGUGUAGCGGUGAAAUGCGUAGAUAUCGGAAGGAACACCAGUGGCGAAGGCGACUUCCUGGGCCAAUACUGACGCUGAGGUGCGAAAGCGUGGGGAGCAAACAGGAUUAGAUACCCGCGUAGUCC
Molecule: ribosomal RNA, 448 nt
Filed under: uncultured prokaryote
Description: bacterial SSU rRNA
Rfam family: Bacterial small subunit ribosomal RNA
Source: RNAcentral